This 506-nucleotide ribosomal RNA is filed under the name uncultured bacterium. RNAcentral describes it as "partial 16S ribosomal RNA". It matches the Rfam family "Bacterial small subunit ribosomal RNA", at positions 29 to 523 of the family's 1533-position model. The record is from RNAcentral.
AUUGAACGCUGGCGGCAGGCCUAACACAUGCAAGUCGGACGGUAGCACAGAGGAGCUUGCUCCUUGGGUGACGAGUGGCGGACGGGUGAGUAAUGUCUGGGGAUCUGCCCGAUAGAGGGGGAUAACCACUGGAAACGGUGGCUAAUACCGCAUAACGUCGCAAGACCAAAGAGGGGGACCUUCGGGCCUCUCACUAUCGGAUGAACCCAGAUGGGAUUAGCUAGUAGGCGGGGUAAUGGCCCACCUAGGCGACGAUCCCUAGCUGGUCUGAGAGGAUGACCAGCCACACUGGAACUGAGACACGGUCCAGACUCCUACGGGAGGCAGCAGUGGGGAAUAUUGCACAAUGGGCGCAAGCCUGAUGCAGCCAUGCCGCGUGUAUGAAGAAGGCCUUCGGGUUGUAAAGUACUUUCAGCGGGGAGGAAGGCGGCACGGUUAAUAACCGUGCCGAUUGACGUUACCCGCAGAAGAAGCACCGGCUAACUCCGUGCCAGCCGCCGCCGUAA